This 275-nucleotide long non-coding RNA is filed under the name Gossypium barbadense (sea-island cotton). RNAcentral describes it as "long non-coding RNA (GBAR_LNC001362)". The record is from RNAcentral. Lineage: Eukaryota; Viridiplantae; Streptophyta; Magnoliopsida; Malvales; Malvaceae.
GUAAAAUUAACUGGUAUGUCGGAUACUUCAUACGGACCGAUGAACCUCGGACUCAAUUUGCCCUUACGGCCAAAUCUAAGCACCUUCUUCCAGGGUGAAACUUUGAGAAAUACCUUGUCCCCAACCUGAUAUUCAAUGUCUUUUCUCCUUAAAUCCGCAUACUACUUUUGACUAUCCGAAGCGGCUUUCAAACUUUCACGAAUUACUCGAACUUUCUACUCAGCAUCCUUAAUCAAAUCAACCCCAAAGAUUUUACUUUCACUAAGUUCAGUCCA